Molecule: long non-coding RNA, 1650 nt
Organism: Arachis stenosperma
Lineage: Eukaryota; Viridiplantae; Streptophyta; Magnoliopsida; Fabales; Fabaceae
Exons: 7
Source: RefSeq, a predicted model, not a curated record
UUUAAGUGAGCAUACUAAAAAAAAUUCAGAAGAGUUCUUCGAGAGAGAGAAUGAGGGAGAGGCUGAACCCUAAAAUCUCAAUCCCAUCGCUACUGCCAUUCAUCUCUUCGCCGCCAUUGCCGCCAAGUCUUCUCCAUCAAUGUGUCGCCGGUAGAAUUAUGAAUGGAGGACGAGAUGAUGGUGGAGCCUCUCAAUUCGUGGAGCUCUCGCCUCUCGGAAUAGUAAUGCUUUAGAUCUUCUGCUUCUGCGUCGUCUUCCACAGUGGUUCUGUCGCGGGUUCUGGUUUUGCUCCAGCGGCUUGAAGCAUUCAGAGCGCGGUUUGGGCGCGGACUCGGUGGUGCUGGCUGAGUAGAUCAGGAAGGUGAGCGAGCUGGAGACUCUGGAAGCUUCGAUUGAAGCUGCGUUCGAAGCUAUCAAAUCUCGUGAAACUGAUUCUCAUGUCGUUCUGAGUCAUUGAGCAGAGGCAAUCCUACUUGGUUUCCAACAUUAUCUAGUGAUGCUUGGCACAACUAUUUUGAUUUCUAGCUCUCUAGUUCCACAGAUGGAGGGAGAAAAUGAAUACAUGAAAUCAAGACAAGGGAAGGAUUGGCCCUGGUAGAUAUUGUGAGAGAACUGACAAUGUUUGUUUUUAAGAUUAAGAUGCCUCCAAAUGUCUGAGUACAGUUGAUUAAUGGUUUGGCAGAUAUAGAGAUUAUUCUAUGCAACCUCCUGCACAAGAACUUGUGGCUAGGGAGAUUUGCAUGAUAAUGUUUGGAUUUUCCGUCAUAUAUUUCGAGGGCAACCAAAGCACCACAUGCUUACAACUGAAUGGAGUCUAUUUGUCAGUGGAAAGAAGCUCUUUGUUGGAGACUCUGUUUUAUUUAUACUAAAAGAAUAUAUCAAGAGCAAGUUUACAGAAAUCACUUGAUCAAGGAAUAUGAUUUGUGUAUACUCUAAAAGGCACAUGCUUGAUGACCCCUCACAAAUAGAGAUGAAAAACAGAGCAAAUACACAAAUUUGAAGGAGAUGGCUGUGCUUCUAAGGUAUAUCUAUUAGUGCUAAGAACUAAUUUUUUUUUUUAUAUUCUGAAUUCAGGCUGUAGCUUCAUCAAUUUUGGUCCUUGUUUUCUUGGAACCUUUAGGCUUUGGGAAGUUGAACUUUAAUCAUGGAAAUAACAAGAAAUUUCUAGUUAUAUAGUUUAGUUCUAAUCUCACUGUAAAAGCAAAUCAAUUUUAUUUGGUGGCUCCUUGAUGAUGAUGAUUCCAAGAUUUCUAAUAUGGCCUAAUACCCUCUGUUUUGUUUAGGUGUACAUGAUUGGAGUGUUCUGAUUGUGAAUUAUAAAUAUGUUAAAUGUCAAGUUCUUAACUAUGAAUUGUAAAUUUGACUAAUUAAAAUGAGGUAUCAUAUUUAGGUACAAUUGGUAAUUAACUAUUUGGUUGGGUUGAUGAAGAAGGAUGUUAAAUCUUAAUUUCUGUGGCUCUAACAGUGGCAGCUUUGUGUUUAAAUUUGUUUCUUUAACACAUUUAAGUUAUUCUUGUGUUAAAUUUUGUUCAAAUAAGUAAUAUUUUAAUUUUCUUCUAAAUUUUUAAUGUGUCUUAUUUAAAGAUUUCUUUUAAAUGAUAAUUAAUUAGUAGUAUAAUAAUAUAAUUUUAGUAUCUAGAUUAAUUGUUU